GACGAACGCUGGCGGCGUGCCUAAUACAUGCAAGUAGAACGCACAGUUUAUACCGUAGCUUGCUACACCAUAGACUGUGAGUUGCGAACGGGUGAGUAACGCGUAGGUAACCUGCCUGGUAGCGGGGGAUAACUAUUGGAAACGAUAGCUAAUACCGCAUAAUAUUAAUUAUUGCAUGAUAAUUAAUUGAAAGGUGCAAUUGCACCACUACCAGAUGGACCUGCGUUGUAUUAGCUAGUAGGUGAGGUAACGGCUCACCUAGGCGACGAUACAUAGCCGACCUGAGAGGGUGAUCGGCCACACUGGGACUGAGACACGGCACAGACUCCUACGGGAGGCAGCAGUAGGGAAUCUUCGGCAAUGGACGAAAGUCUGACCGAGCAACGCCGCGUGAGUGAAGAAGGUUUUCGGAUCGUAAAGCUCUGUUGUAAGAGAAGAACGGGUGUGAGAGUGGAAAGUUCACACUGUGACGGUAUCUGACCAGAAAGGGACGGCUAACUACGUG
Molecule: ribosomal RNA, 505 nt
Filed under: uncultured bacterium
Lineage: Bacteria
Description: partial 16S ribosomal RNA
Rfam family: Bacterial small subunit ribosomal RNA
Source: RNAcentral